RNAcentral lists this ribosomal RNA (393 nucleotides) under uncultured bacterium. Its description in RNAcentral is "partial 16S ribosomal RNA". It matches the Rfam family "Bacterial small subunit ribosomal RNA", at positions 523 to 918 of the family's 1533-position model. The record is from RNAcentral.
AUACGGAGGAUCCGAGCGUUAUCCGGAUUUAUUGGGUUUAAAGGGUGCGCAGGCGGGAGAUUAAGUCGGCGGUGAAAUUUUGCAGCUCAACUGUAAAAGUGCCUUUGAAACUGGUUUCCUUGAGUGUAGAUGAAGUAGGCGGAAUUUGUGGGGGAGCGGUGAAAUUCAUAGAUAUCACGAGGAACUCCGAUUGCGCAGGCAGCUUACUAAACUACUACUGACGCUCAGGCACGAAGGCGUGGGGAUCAAACAGGAUUAGAUACCCUGGUAGUCCACGCAGUAAACGAUGAUUACUAGCUUUUUGCGAUACAAUGUAAGCGGCUGAGCGAAAGCGUUAAGUAAUCCACCUGGGGAGUACGUUCGCAAGAAUGAAACUCAAAUGAAUUGACGGGG